This 686-nucleotide ribosomal RNA is filed under the name uncultured bacterium. Its description in RNAcentral is "bacterial SSU rRNA". It matches the Rfam family "Bacterial small subunit ribosomal RNA", at positions 111 to 823 of the family's 1533-position model. The record is from RNAcentral.
UAACACGUGAGUAACCUGCCCCCGAGAGCGGGAUAGCCCUGGGAAACUGGGAUUAAUACCGCAUAGUAUCGAAAGAUUAAAGCAGCAAUGCGCUUGGGGAUGGGCUCGCGGCCUAUUAGUUAGUUGGUGAGGUAACGGCUCACCAAGGCGAUGACGGGUAGCCGGUCUGAGAGGAUGUCCGGCCACACUGGAACUGAGACACGGUCCAGGCACCUACGGGUGGCAGCAGUCGAGAAUCAUUCACAAUGGGGGAAACCCUGAUGGUGCGACGCCGCGUGGGGGAAUGAAGGUCUUCGGAUUGUAAACCCCUGUCAUGUGGGAGCAAAUUAAAAAGAUAGUACCACAAGAGGAAGAGACGGCUAACUCUGUGCCAGCAGCCGCGGUAAUACAGAGGUCUCAAGCGUUGUUCGGAAUCACUGGGCGUAAAGCGUGCGUAGGCUGUUUCGUAAGUCGUGUGUGAAAGGCGCGGGCUCAACCCGCGGACGGCACAUGAUACUGCGAGACUAGAGUAAUGGAGGGGGAACCGGAAUUCUCGGUGUAGCAGUGAAAUGCGUAGAUAUCGAGAGGAACACUCGUGGCGAAGGCGGGUUCCUGGACAUUAACUGACGCUGAGGCACGAAGGCCAGGGGAGCGAAAGGGAUUAGAUACCCCUGUAGUCCUGGCAGUAAACGGUGCACGCUUGGUGU